GACGAACGCUGGCGGCGUGCUUAACACAUGCAAGUCGAACGGGCUCUGUCUGGCUGUGUGCUGGGUGGGGUUAGUGGCGAACGGGUGAGUAAUACGUGAGUAACCUGCCCUCUUCUUUGGGAUAAGCCUUGGAAACGGGGUCUAAUACUGGAUAUUCCUGUCUGGUCGCAUGGCUGGGUGGGGAAAGUUUUUUUCGGUGGGGGAUGGGCUCGCGGCCUAUCAGCUUGUUGGUGGGGUGAUGGCCUACCAAGGCGUCGACGGGUAGCCGGCCUGAGAGGGUGACCGGCCACACUGGGACUGAGAUACGGCCCAGACUCCUACGGGAGGCAGCAGUGGGGGAUAUUGCACAAUGGGCGAAAGCCUGAUGCAGCGACGCCGCGUGGGGGAUGACGGCUUUCGGGUUGUAAACCUCUUUCGUCGGGGGACAAGGCUCUGCUUGGUGGUGGGGUUGAGGGUACCCGGUGAAGAAGCGCCGGCUAACUACGUG
This 487-nucleotide ribosomal RNA is filed under the name uncultured bacterium. RNAcentral's name for it is "partial 16S ribosomal RNA". It matches the Rfam family "Bacterial small subunit ribosomal RNA", at positions 28 to 507 of the family's 1533-position model. The record is from RNAcentral.